CCCGCAACGAGCGCAACCCUUAUCCUUUGUUGCCAGCGGUCCGGCCGGGAACUCAAAGGAGACUGCCGGUGAUAAACCGGAGGAAGGUGGGGAUGACGUCAAGUCAUCAUGGCCCUUACGGCCAGGGCUACACACGUGCUACAAUGGCGCAUACAAAGAGAAGCGACCUCGCGAGAGCAAGCGGACCUCAUAAAGUGCGUCGUAGUCCGGAUUGGAGUCUGCAACUCGACUCCAUGAAGUCGGAAUCGCUAGUAAUCGUGGAUCAGAAUGCCACGGUGAAUACGUU
This 286-nucleotide ribosomal RNA is filed under the name Enterobacter sp. July_NA3A8. RNAcentral's name for it is "partial 16S ribosomal RNA". It matches the Rfam family "Bacterial small subunit ribosomal RNA", at positions 1086 to 1372 of the family's 1533-position model. The record is from RNAcentral. Lineage: Bacteria; Pseudomonadati; Pseudomonadota; Gammaproteobacteria; Enterobacterales; Enterobacteriaceae.